GUAUUCAAUCAAUUUUUUGCAAGCAUCUGUAAAGAAAGUUUCACGAAAACAUCUCAUAUCCUUUCUUUUUUUCCUAUGGAAAAUAAAAUAAACUGAUAGAAUUCAGCCAGAAAUGUAUGUUCAUUUUCUUAUAUCAUCAUUUUAAAUGUACACUACAUUUAAAUGUGCAUUUCUGAGGUAGCUGCUUCCCUUUACAGGUGCUGCCAAUAUUGCAUCAAGAAAUCCUUCCAGAAAGUUUAGUAGCCUUAAAGCCUGUAACAAUUAGUGAUGUAAUAUAAAUAAAUAUAUUACAGGCUUAAAACUUUGUGCUGCAGCCUGGGAUAUUUUUUAUCAGUUUGUUUGUUUAACUGACAUAAAGAGUGGAAUAAGUGGUCCAUCAAUACAUGACAGGCUGAUAGUGAGCAGUCUGAUUAGGAGUAAGAAGAGCAGAACAUUUCAGUAUGAUGAAAUCAGUAUUUAUAUGAUUGCUACGAGAAAAAACAUUUUUGUGUUCAAUAAUUGUUAACUCCAUAGGAAAAAAAAAAAAAGAAAAAAAUGAAAGAAAAAAAAUGAGGAGAAAGAAUUUUUGUAUCAGUGUCUCAGCUAUAAAUACAAACCUUGCUCUGAAAGUAAUGCCUCCUAUUUUAUUAUAUUGGCCCACAGUGUCAGAGAUUAGUUUCUGUGGUAUGGAAGUUGAGGUUGAAUCUUCCCAUCAAUAUUCUAUUUUGUUGCCAUGUGACAGAUGGCAGCAGAGGGUCAACCUGACAACAUUUGACAUGGGAUUGCAGAUGAAGCAAAGAUGUGGAAUUGAAUUCCUCCAUGAAGAAAAAAUUGCACCCAUUGACUUUCAUUGAUGCUUGCUGAACAUUUAUGGAGACCAAACAGCAGAUGUGAGCAUACUGAGGAUAUGUCUUGGCAUCUUCUGUGCUCCAUGACACCAUAUGCCAAAGAGGAAACUUUUAGAGGGAAGAAGUGAGAUCUAUUUACAGUUCAGAUAUAUUCAUUGCUUUGGAGCUGUUUGCCUUCGGAAGAGAGUGUUCAGGACUGUUUACUGGCAGAUGAUCUGGCCUGUGACAAAUAACUCCAGCUUGCUAUGGGAGACUGGGAGAUGAUACCACUGUAUUCUGUGAAGGCAAGAUACAAGUUGGCACCUCCCUGCUUUCUCUUAUCUGCUGACAAGGCCCAGAAGAUGGGAACAAAAGGAGUUCCUGCUGAGAUCCAAAAGCCAGAAGCUAUCACUCCAAAAGGAGCUGACUGAAUCACUUUGGACUUAUUUAUAAGUUUGUACUGCCAUUGAAAAGUAUCUUCAUUAUCUCCAUAACCACAGACAUCAUCGUCAACAAUGAUACAGAACAACAACAACUGACGACCCACCACUACUGGAGACCAACGACUGAACUGUGAACCUUGCUGGACCCUUGGUGGUCUCUAUCUUGCUCUCUACAAAGACUCCUUGCUUUUAUUUCCUGUCCUUUAUAUUGCCCAUCUUCCCUUCCCCAUCUUCCUAAAUGACUAGGAUCUGUAAUAAACUGGUCGGGCUAACAUUUGACCAGUUGUGUCUAAAUCUCACUGUCGGGUAUACAUAUAUCAGAGAACCUCCUCUCCCUCCUAUAAAUUGGAGCAAGAUAAAAUAAAUAAAAAAGAAAAGAAAAGAAAAAUAAAUAGAAUGUUAGUAGAUACAAAACAA
Gallus gallus (chicken) is the source of this 1666-nucleotide long non-coding RNA. The record is from Ensembl. Lineage: Eukaryota; Metazoa; Chordata; Aves; Galliformes; Phasianidae.